This 253-nucleotide ribosomal RNA is filed under the name uncultured bacterium. RNAcentral's name for it is "partial 16S ribosomal RNA". It matches the Rfam family "Bacterial small subunit ribosomal RNA", at positions 524 to 776 of the family's 1533-position model. The record is from RNAcentral.
UACGGGGGGUGCGAGCGUUGUCCGGAAUUAUUGGGCGUAAAGAGCUCGUAGGCGGUCUGUCGCGUCUGCUGUGAAAACUCAGGGCUUAACCCUGAGCUUGCAGUGGGUACGGGCAGACUAGAGUGCGGUAGGGGAGACUGGAAUUCCUGGUGUAGCGGUGAAAUGCGCAGAUAUCAGGAGGAACACCGGUGGCGAAGGCGGGUCUCUGGGCCGUAACUGACGCUGAGGAGCGAAAGCGUGGGGAGCAAACAGG